UACAGAGGUCCCAAGCGUUGUUCGGAUUCACUGGGCGUAAAGGGUGCGUAGGUGGUGAGGUAAGUCGGAUGUGAAAUCUCCGAGCUCAACUCGGAAAUGGCAUUGGAAACUACCUUGCUCGAGGGUUGGAGGGGGGACUGGAAUUCCUGGUGUAGCGGUGAAAUGCGCAGAUAUCAGGAGGAACACCGGUGGCGAAGGCGGGUCUCUGGGCCGAUACUGACGCUGAGGAGCGAAAGCGUGGGGAGCGAACAGG
This 253-nucleotide ribosomal RNA is filed under the name uncultured bacterium. RNAcentral's name for it is "partial 16S ribosomal RNA". It matches the Rfam family "Bacterial small subunit ribosomal RNA", at positions 524 to 776 of the family's 1533-position model. The record is from RNAcentral.